UACGUAGGGACCGAGCGUUGUCCGGAUUCAUUGGGCGUAAAGAGCUCGUAGGCGGCCACUCAAGUCGAAUGUGAAACCUCGAGGCUUAACCUCGAGCCUGCAUUCGAUACUGGGCGGCUAGAGUCUGGUAGGGGGAUCUGGAAUUCCUGGUGUAGCGGUGGAAUGCGCAGAUAUCGAGAGGAACACCAGUGGCGAAGGCGAGUCCCUGGACAGAUCCUGACGCUGAGGCACGAAAGCUAGGGGAGCAAACAGG
Molecule: ribosomal RNA, 253 nt
Filed under: uncultured bacterium
Lineage: Bacteria
Description: partial 16S ribosomal RNA
Rfam family: Bacterial small subunit ribosomal RNA
Source: RNAcentral